CAGUCGCCACGGGAAUACGAAGGGUGCAAGCGUUAAUCGGAAUUACUGGGCGUAAAGCGCGCGUAGGUGGUUUGGUAAGAUGGAUGUGAAAUCCCCGGGCUCAACCUGGGAACUGCAUCCAUAACUGCCUGACUAGAGUACGGUAGAGGGUGGUGGAAUUUCCUGUGUAGCGGUGAAAUGCGUAGAUAUAGGAAGGAACACCAGUGGCGAAGGCGACCACCUGGACUGAUACUGACACUGAGGUGCGAAAGCGUGGGGAGCAAACAGGAUUAGAUACCCCUGUAGUCCCUGUCUCUUAUAC
This 301-nucleotide ribosomal RNA is filed under the name uncultured bacterium. RNAcentral describes it as "partial 16S ribosomal RNA". It matches the Rfam family "Bacterial small subunit ribosomal RNA", at positions 509 to 807 of the family's 1533-position model. The record is from RNAcentral.